RNAcentral lists this ribosomal RNA (842 nucleotides) under uncultured bacterium. RNAcentral describes it as "bacterial SSU rRNA". It matches the Rfam family "Bacterial small subunit ribosomal RNA", at positions 79 to 906 of the family's 1533-position model. The record is from RNAcentral.
GACGUUGGGAAAGCGAGCGGCGGAUGGGUGAGUAACACGUGGGGAACCUGCCCCUAAGUCUGGGAUACCAUUUGGAAACAGGUGCUAAUACCGGAUAAUAAAGCAGAUCGCAUGAUCAGCUUUUGAAAGGCGGCGUAAGCUGUCGCUAAGGGAUGGCCCCGCGGUGCAUUAGCUAGUUGGUAAGGUAACGGCUUACCAAGGCGACGAUGCAUAGCCGAGUUGAGAGACUGAUCGGCCACAUUGGGACUGAGACACGGCCCAAACUCCUACGGGAGGCAGCAGUAGGGAAUCUUCCACAAUGGACGCAAGUCUGAUGGAGCAACGCCGCGUGAGUGAAGAAGGUUUUCGGAUCGUAAAGCUCUGCUGUUGGUGAAGAAGGAUAGAGGUAGUAACUGGCCUUUAUUUGACGGUAAUCAACCAGAAAGUCACGGCUAACUACGUGCCAGCAGCCGCGGUAAUACGUAGGUGGCAAGCGUUGUCCGGAUUUAUUGGGCGUAAAGCGAGCGCAGGCGGAAAAAUAAGUCUAAUGUGAAAGCCCUCGGCUUAACCGAGGAACUGCAUCGGAAACUGUUUUUCUUGAGUGCAGAAGAGGAGAGUGGAACUCCAUGUGUAGCGGUGGAAUGCGUAGAUAUAUGGAAGAACACCAGUGGCGAAGGCGGCUCUCUGGUCUGCAACUGACGCUGAGGCUCGAAAGCAUGGGUAGCGAACAGGAUUAGAUACCCUGGUAGUCCAUGCCGUAAACGAUGAGUGCUAAGUGUUGGGAGGUUUCCGCCUCUCAGUGCUGCAGCUAACGCAUUAAGCACUCCGCCUGGGGAGUACGACCGCAAGGUUGAAACUCAAAG